AUAACUACCCAGUAAUCCGGGAUAACAUCUCGAAAGAGAUGCUAAUACCUGAUAAGCCCACGAUCUCUUCGGAGAACGAGGGAAAAGGUGGGGACCUUCGGGCCUGCCGUUGCUGGAUGAGUCCGCGGCCCAUUAGCUAGUUGGUAGGGUAAUGGCCUACCAAGGCUACGAUGGGUAGCUGGUCUGAGAGGAUGAUCAGCCACACUGGAAUUGAGACACGGUCCAG
This 226-nucleotide ribosomal RNA is filed under the name uncultured bacterium. RNAcentral describes it as "partial 16S ribosomal RNA". It matches the Rfam family "Bacterial small subunit ribosomal RNA", at positions 121 to 334 of the family's 1533-position model. The record is from RNAcentral.